Molecule: long non-coding RNA, 1163 nt
Organism: Drosophila mojavensis
Lineage: Eukaryota; Metazoa; Arthropoda; Insecta; Diptera; Drosophilidae
Exons: 3
Source: RefSeq, a predicted model, not a curated record
GCACUGGGCACUGACUUUCGACACGUUUUCUGACUUAAUUUUAGUUUAUUGCUUUUUAUGUAUCUGUGUGUGUGUGAGAGUGGUGGUGUUUGUGUGUGUGUGUGUGUAUUAAAAAUCAUUCAUAGUAUACGCACACCACCCGCUCGACUGCAGUUUAUGAGCGACCGGCAAACAAUUGGCAUGCUCAGACUAGAACGUCGUCCGCCACGUGUUGCGGAUGAUAUCCUUGGCGAAUUGUUGGGCGUAGUGCUGCUCCUUUGAAGUCGCCCAGGACGCACUAGAGUCCGUUGACUUUUCCAAUUGGUGGGGUCGUAACUGAUGCUAAGACGUGAAAUUAAGUCAGCCUCCGCUCAGCGCCGCUCAACAACGCGAUUUUCCUCGGCUGAGGGGCUGGGGAUGUUGAGCUCUACUUAUGCCUGUGACAGAUAUAAACUUUUUGUUUACUGUUCUCACGCUUGUGACUACCAAAUGACGGAUUGAAUUAGCAACAUUUCUUACCUUUAGCUUGAGCAUAUCAAAUUGGCAAAAGGAUAUCAAACAUCUGCAUAGAUACAUUUCCAAUCAGACAUACAUAUGUGCAUACUCUCCAUAUGUACUCCAAGCUGACCCCUCAAUAGCACGCAACGAGUGGCCUUUCACAAGUGUUGACACAAGUCUUCAGCUUUAACUGAAAAACAUCAUUUCCAGUUUGAUGAUGAAUUCAAGUGCUACCCAGGAUGCUAUCUGGCACUCGCCCUUGCACUACCACCGCCGCCUCCACCGCCACCGCCACGGACGCUCUUGGCUCUGGGGCAGCCUGGCAUGCAGAACUCUUCUGUGCAGCCGACAGUAUUUGCACAAAAAAGUUAAUUAAUUUAAUGAAAGGCUCGCAAACUAGUGUAACAAGUUCAGUUGUCAUAUAAGUACAUUUGUAAUUACAUAAAUAAGGCAGCCCACGUUACGGGUUCGUAAUUAAAAGCAUAGCCGCCUUUGCCAGUGGUUAGAGUGUAGAAUUAAACAUAAUAAUUCUUUGUAGCUAUUUGUAUAACAGAAGUGAAGCUGUUAUUUGUCUUGGCCAAUGGCUAUAUAUUUGUCAUAUUUGCUUAAGACACAUGCCCACAAAUAAGCCUUUUACAGUCAAAGUUCUCCUCCUCCUCCUCAAGCUCCAUCCCAACAAGAAUACA